GACCAUUCUGUCCUCUGUGGACACAGCAUCCAUCCCUUCCAGAGAACACAGCAUUCAAGGCAUCGUAUCAGAAGCACAGGACUGUGCUCUCACCGGACACCAAACCUGUCAGUGUCUUGAUCUUGGACUUCCAGCUUCAGAACUGCCAUUGUAGACAAUUUAUCCUAUUACCCCAGAAGCGACUGAGAUGGUGGAAAUUAAUGAUUAGGUCAAUCAAAAAAGCUGACUGAAGCUCACCGACCUGGAACUCUUCUGCUUACUUCUUCAUUUAUUUGCCUUCUCCACCCUUCUCUGUUAAAAGAGACUGACCUGUUGGAGCUACCAGAAAGUCAAAGGGAGAGAGAACAGUGACUAGAGAACUAUUAUUCCCACAGUUCUCUCUGUUGCUUUAUCUUUUCCUGGCUGUUGACGCCACCACUCAAGGUGGUUCUCUCCAUUGAAUUCUUUCCUUCCAGGUUCUGGUAACUACAAUUGCACAUCCCUGUUCAGGCUAACAGAACGUGUUAUUAUUGGCUCUAGUGUACUGUGAUAUAUCUUUUAGAGAAUUUUAAUUUCAAAGUAGUCCCUUUAUUAACACUUUCUUAAAUUAUACUAAUUUUAGUUCACAGUGGGAACCAAUCUGAUACAUUUAUCAUAGAAAUUGAUCUAAUACACUGAGGCUUAUAUGAGAGUUUUGAAGAAAGAUGAUUUUAUCCACAUCCUGGCUAAACUAUAGAGAAAAAAUGCACAAUCUAAUAUCAAUGACUUAACGUCAUAGUGUCUGGUUUGGAUUAUAUGUCCAUUAUAGGUUGCCAAGUGGACUUUAUCAAUAUAUCUAAGGAACACCAUAAGCUCCAUAGAAAUACAACUCUAGCAUUUCAGAGUCAAGAAAAAAAAAGAUUUUUAAAAAUCAUUGUCAGUGGUUUAAGUUCUGCCCAGAAGGUCAUUUUUCUUAUGUUUUUCUGGCAUAUAAGUCACAUAGUUUAACCUGACCUUAUAAUAUGGCAUUUUUCAAGAUGGGACCCAUAUAUGGUUGAACACCAAUGCAUUCUGUCAUUCUGGCCAUCAAAUAUUUGGUUUCCUCCUCACCCAUGUAUGAAACAUUUUUACCCAAUCCCAAAUUUCCCACCUAAUCAGCAUAUCUAGCACUAGGCCCAAGAUCCCAUUGUGUUUUGUGAUUUCUUCUAUGUCAGAUGUACAUGGCUUCUUUUGCUCUGGACAACUGAAAACUAAAAGAAAAGAGCAAUAGUUAUUGUCCUUCAUCACACAAAUGUGCAAUAUAAAAAUGAGAUAACUGAGCAGAAACAUUACAUAUGUAUACAUAUACACACACACACAUAUGAUAUUUAAGAGAUAAAAUAGGAGGGAGGCUUAUGCGUCUUUGUUAAAUAAGAUUCUAAAACCUCACUGGAUAUGUAUUAAAAGGAAUAUGGUUCUUAGAGGAGCAAAUGUUCUUUGUCAGACACUUAUUUCACUCUCCUUGUCAUCAUUUAUCAUCGUUCUUCUUGAUCUUUGGUUCUGUCUUCUGUAAGAUCUUUUUUAUUUCUGUUACACUUGAUUACAUCAGAUGGAAGUUACUUUGAAUGGAGGUCCCACUGGGACUUAUUCUAGAAAUUUAAAAGAAAACUUUUUUAAUAGUAACAUUCUUUUAAAUUUUUUGCUCAGCAUGUUUCACUUAAAAAUAAAACGGUGUUAAAGAUGUGUGUGUAUAUAUGUAUACACACACACACAUUUAUAUGUGUAUAUAUGAAAAGUAAUUAAGAAAAUGUCUAUGUAAAUGCAUGAUGUUUCCUUACUAUUAUCCUACCAUAAAAGACAUUUCAGGAAAGAAAUAGAAUAGUCACAAAGUAUAGGACAAAACAGAUUAUAAGAAUACAAAGGAGUCAAAAUUAAAUGUAGUAUAAAUUAAUUAUUUUAUUAGUUUAAAAUGAAUCUUGUCAAUUAAACUAUUAUCUUAGCGAUUAAGAGAUUUCAUACCAUAUAGCCAAUAAAACUAGAUGUAUGGUUCUGCUGGGAAUUAAGUAAUUGGGUAUGUUUUUAUGCCUCAUUAUUAAUGACCUCAUAUGCUAUUUUAGGCCAGUGCCUACUUACUAAUUUGAAUAAUUCUGUUUUUAUGAUAGCCUCAGUACUAUAUACUUCUAGUAUAAUAUAUAGUACUUACUAUAUAUUAAGCCUCUGGAAUUAUUUCCCACUGGAAUCAUUUAAAUUUAUAGAAAAUUAUUAAAGAUGUAAAAUUAUUAGCAUGCUAAUAAAAGUGUUAAAUAGGGGUAGUCUCACCAAAAGUAAUAAGUACUUUUGGACAGUCAACAAUUUAAACUCAAAAUUAAAAGUAUAAUCACAGAUUUUCAAACCUACUUUCCAUUUUAUUAUCUAAAUGAAAGACAUCUAGAAAUUGAAGAUAAUGUAUUUUAAGAGUUUCAUAGAAAACAUUAAAAUUUAAUGUCACAUGUAAUAAGAUUUGGUGUCAUAAAUACUAAAUAUAGAUAAUUAUGUUUAAGGAAUACAGCUAUGAAAUAAACAAAUUAAGUAUGUAAUCAGAAUAAUGAUUAUUUGUAUCAAAUAUUAUUAUUUAUUUAUUUAUUUAUUUUGAGACAGGCUGUCACUCUGCCGCCCAGGAUGGAGUGCAGUGGCACGAUCUCAGCUCACCGCAAACUUGGCCUUCUGGGCUCAAGCAAUUCUCCUGCCUCAGCCCUCCCAACUCCAAGUAGCUGGGAUUACAGGCACAAGCCACCAGGCCUAGCUAAUGUUUUUUGUAUUUUUUGUAGAGACAGGGUUUCACUAUGUUGCCCUGGCUGGGCUCAAACUCCUGAGAUCUAGCAAUACACCCGCCUCAGCCUCCCAAAGUGCUAGAAUUACAGGUGUGAGCCACCUCACUUGGCCUUUAUCAAAUUUUAGAGACAAUCAUGAUAUUUGUCCAAUCUAUACACUUAUUACAAAUGUGCUCAUAUGGUAUGGUGACAUUGCAAAUGACUGUUUCGUCUUAUUUAACAUUAACUUAAAUAUCUUAAGAAACUGAACAACAAAUUCCAAUUUUAUGUUCAAGUGUAUUAAUGUGAUAACUACUCACACAGUGAACUCUUGAAAGUUCCUUGACUAAAUAUUUUAAAAUUCAAAACUUCUCUCAGAAUAAAUGAGAGUUUUCUUGUUCAUGAUCUCUACUCAGGGCUGGCUUCUUGGCCAUGCAACCUGUGCAGUCUCACAGGGUCCUAGGUUUAGAAGGUCCUCAUACUUGGCUUUUCCAUGGAUGUUGUGAAAUUAUUUUUGAACAAGGAAGCCCACAUUUCCAUUUUGUCCUAGAACCCACAAAUUGUGUAGACUGUCCUGCUGUUAUCUAUUUUUUUCAUAUAGAAAUAAUUAUUUGGUAAUAUGCCUUAUAUUUUCUGCUUAAAAAAUUAAUUUAAAAAAAUGAAGGAAAAUAUGUGAAAAUAACCCAAAACUAAUACAAGAUAUGGAAGAUAACCAUUGCUCUUAUUACUAAAAUUUGUAUUAAAGAUGCGGCCUUCCUAUCACAAAGACCGUUUUGAGUUGCUUCAUGGAAAAAGCCAUUAAAUAAAUGGCUAGGAGACAGCCAAAGAUGAGGCCGUAUAAUAAAAGGAUGAGAACCUCAAGUAUAAAGGUUUAUCUAGAAAAAAUAUUUGGCUAUAGUUACUCAGCAAGAAAAUUUAUUUGAAGUAAUUAAUCCAUCAGGUUGUUAAGAUAAGAGUUUGUUGGGUUAUCUUGCCAAAGAAACUCCUUACAACAUGUAAUGAUUUCAAUCCCAUAAACUCUAAACUGAAUAAAACAGAAGAAGAACUAUAAAAAUUCAAUCCUCUAGGAAGACUAUCUUCCCGACAUCUAACACAGAAGCGGCCAAGAAGACUAAUGGGCAAGACUUCCCAGAAGAUAGAACCAAAGGACACGGUGGGUGAUAGUAAGGGCAAUCCUCUCAGAUUGCAGAAACAGUGCUGGCUGUUUGACUUAAUUUGUUAACCAAGGGCAAGAAAGUUAUACAUAUUGCAGGGUUUUUUUUUCAGUUGAAUUAUAUAUAUAUUUUCCUAUAAGAAAAUAACACCAAAAAAUAGCAAAUCAAACACACAAAUAAGUAAGUUAAUGAAAGAAUUGCAAAACACACUGAAAAUAGAAGAAAAAAAUGUAAGUUAGGAGUAGCAAUUAAUGAAAUACAGAUUAAACAUUUAUCUGUAUUUACGAAAUACAGGUAACAAAGAUGGAGAAGAAUAAAGAAGUCAAUGUCAAUUAAUUGAUAGGAUGAAAUUUUAUAACAUAAUUGUUACAUAGUAAUAGCCGAUAAGCCAAUUAUAAAUUCUGGUAUUAAGAAUUAUCAAUUUAGAAUUAAAACCGGUUUUGUUUAGGGGGUUCAACACCUGUCACUGUAGCUCUUAUUAUUCUCUUUCAAUUAUCUAUCUAUGUAUCUAUCUAUCUAU
Molecule: long non-coding RNA, 4400 nt
Filed under: Homo sapiens (human)
Lineage: Eukaryota; Metazoa; Chordata; Mammalia; Primates; Hominidae
Description: HSALNT0204531
Source: RNAcentral